UGAAAGGAAUGUGUCCUCUUUAUCUCCUGUCCAAGCAGAGAACCAUGGAGAUAAGGAGAUAAUGAAGAACCUUGAAGAACCAUGCCGCAAGUAUUCAGCUUUGAUUAACUUGAAAAUAGUUGUGCUGUUGAUGCGCACACCGGAUCUCAUAUAUUCAAGGAUUGUCUGAAAAAUGUCUCUUACUGCAAAAAUGCAUGUAUAAUAUUUGGCAUUUACCACCGUGAUGCUCAGAUUCAUACCCCGAAUUCGAUCAAAUAAGAGAUGAUGGAAUCUGGUCUGCUCUCCAAAGAAGAGGCAAAGAAAGUUUACGAGAGAAAACUGAAGAAGAAGAAUCAGCAGAAGCCGAGUACUCCCAGCAAAGCAAUCACUUCUACAAAAAAAGACUUAAUUCUGCAACUGUUAAAAAGAAGAGUGAACCUGCAACUGUUAAGAAAAAGACACCAUCGCCUGUUGUAAAGAAGACAAACUCCAAUGUUGAAACAAAGAAGUCUAAGAACUAAGAAGCGCAGGAUUGCUAAUGAUAGCGAUGAGGAAGAUUCUGAUGAGGAUUUCAUUAUUAAUAGAAGAACAAAGAAACAGAGAGCAUCUUAAGUAAAACAACAUUGUUCGUCUCCUUGAUUCUCUAGUCUCCUGGAAGCUGUGGUAAUUUGGAAGAAGCAAAGAGAUGGAGAGAAAUGAUGAACAAUAUUUGCAUUGUUAAAACUGCUGGAUAGUUUCAUUCAAGCGAGUGGAAAGUUCUUGGCUGGAGAAAUGAGCAAAGGUGAUUCAGCUGCCACACUGUAACAUUUAAUUACAUAUGCUUGGCCUUGAAAUCUUUAGAGAUGAGGAAAUUUAAUUUGUCACGAAUAUCUAAUGUUAAAGUUUUAGCCUUAGUUAUUUUGGGUGUAUUUUUAUUUAUUUGUAGAAUAUUUUUCGUGUAUUAUUAAUGUCUUUUUUGCUAUUUUUA
Molecule: long non-coding RNA, 946 nt
Organism: Mercurialis annua (annual mercury)
Lineage: Eukaryota; Viridiplantae; Streptophyta; Magnoliopsida; Malpighiales; Euphorbiaceae
Exons: 4
Source: RefSeq, a predicted model, not a curated record